Molecule: transfer RNA, 69 nt
Filed under: Phrynosoma coronatum
Lineage: Eukaryota; Metazoa; Chordata; Lepidosauria; Squamata; Phrynosomatidae
Description: tRNA-Ile
Rfam family: tRNA
About the family: Transfer RNA (tRNA) molecules are approximately 80 nucleotides in length. Their secondary structure includes four short double-helical elements and three loops (D, anti-codon, and T loops). Further hydrogen bonds mediate the characteristic L-shaped molecular structure. tRNAs have two regions of fundamental functional importance: the anti-codon, which is responsible for specific mRNA codon recognition, and the 3' end, to which the tRNAs corresponding amino acid is attached (by aminoacyl-tRNA synthetases). tRNAs cope with the degeneracy of the genetic code in two manners: having more than one tRNA (with a specific anti-codon) for a particular amino acid; and 'wobble' base-pairing, i.e. permitting non-standard base-pairing at the 3rd anti-codon position.
Source: RNAcentral
GGAAGUGUGCCCGAACAUUAAGGAUUACUUUGAUAGAGUAAACAAUAGGGGUUNAAAUCCCCUCAUUCC